CCUCCCCCAGGAGACAUUUUGGGCACGUCCCGGCAGCAGGUACCCGAAGAGCCAGUGUACGAGCGGCCAGAGCCUAGUCAGGCUCCUUCGGAUGGCAAGCAUGGCCCGACUUCGAGCGCCGCGAAGGGCAGCGGCCGAUUAAAACAAAAACAGUAACCUAGAAGCUCGGAGAGACUAAGAGACAAAGGUAACAAAGUAUUUUCCCCUGGGCAAUUCUUCAGAUAUUGCGUGUGUGCAUGUGUGUGUCCGCCUUGAUUGAGUCCUCAGUUGCAUCAGUGAACUCUCAGAUUCUCACUGACUUUCUCUUUGCAAGAAGAACACGUUAGUGGACAUAAUUACGUCCAUCUGUGUCAUCUCUGCGAUGUCCUCUGUCCCGGCCAGCUUUGUCAUGUUCCUGAUCUAGGGGUGUGUCAGCAAAUAGAAGCACCUGCAGUUCAUCAGUGGAGUGAAGCCUAUCAUUCUACUGGCUCUCCAAUUCUGUCUAGGACAUGGUUUCCAUUUCUAACAGGAACAGCCGGCAAACAAAGGACCCAAAGUGAUAUGUGAGAUUUUUGACGGGAAAAAAGAUGAAGAAGGUGGUUUUAUUGUUCCUGAAUAUCCAGGUAAACACUUGAAAAUCAGUCUACCUUCUGGUCAGAAGUAUGGAGCAGGUAGAAAAAAAGAAACCAGGGAACAAGUAGAUUUGAGAAGUAAAAGGAAAAAAAGUACAAAGCAACUAAAGAAUUAUAAACAACAUAGAGGCAGAUAACCAAGAUGUGACACUGUUCUAGGAGCCACUAAGUUCAUGUAGCCAGCGCUGAAGGCUGAGGGGAGGUCCAGGUGGAUAGGAUCCAAAUAAGACAUUUCAAAUCUCUUGUCAUCUAAGAUACAUUAUGAAGUUGGGAUUAUGGGGGAAAGAAAACUUAAAUUAGUUUAUGCUUUCAAAAAGUCUGCCUUUGGUUUAAAAUUGGGUUGAGGUAAAUAUUUCCCUUAAGUCAGUAAGAAAGUGAAAUCAGCAAGAAGAUAAAUCUUUAAUAAUUAUUUUCAAACUGAGGAAUAAGAGGAAAACAAGUUAAACUACAGUAAUUCAGCUUAACAGUUUAAAUUAAUCCAUCCCCCCCAGUUUUACAAGCAAAGAUGCACUUACUGUUUUUAGAUUAACUGUAAUUUGUGUAAAAAAAAAUACUAAGUUAUGAGAAAAUAUCAUACCUUUCCCUUUACCUACCUAUACAUGUGUUCUGUGUUCUAGAUCCCCAACUUCUCAACCUUUCUUCCCAUGUAAACUUUUCAUAUUCAUACCUAAACUUUAACAGUUUUUCCAAAUUGGAAAAAAAUUCAUUAUUUAAUGCUCAUUGUUUUAACUGUAAGCAAAGAGCUCAAAUUCAUUUUUAUCUCUAUAAUCACAAUAUAUUCCGAUAUAAAAACAAAGGAUUACUUUCUCCUACAGAACUUUAGUUUUUAUAGCUUAAAAUCUUCAGUAUGUUCUUCAUUAAAAUUCAGUGUAAUUUAGAGAGACAAACUUACCUUCUUUGGGUGGUUUUUCUAAUUUGCACCAUGGCACCAGAUAAGUAACUUCACUCUCUUGUUUAUCAGUGAGACCCAUAAUUGGAAUGAGUAAUUGUUCUCGCCAUUCCUUAUCAUUGGCCAAGGCUUUCCGAACUUCAGUUUGAUGAGCAAAAUUGUCUAUGGGAAUAACAGGAGUAAGAAAAAUAAAACUUUUUGAUUUAAAAUCACCUGUACACCUUUAACAUAUAUAAUAUUGUAUAUCAACUGUACAUCAAUAAAAAAAUAAAAUCA
Lagenorhynchus albirostris (white-beaked dolphin) is the source of this 1776-nucleotide long non-coding RNA. RefSeq lists it as uncharacterized. NCBI's taxonomy places the organism in Eukaryota, Metazoa, Chordata, Mammalia, Artiodactyla, Delphinidae. The record is from RefSeq and is a predicted model, not a curated record. The transcript has 4 exons.